UGGAUCCAGACUUUGAUCUGGCUCAGGAUGAACGCUGGCGGCGUGCCUAACACAUGCAAGUCGAGCGAGAAGCUCUUGAACGAUUCUUCGGAAAAGUGAUAGAGUGGAAAGCGGCGGACGGGUGAGUAACGCGUAGGCAACCUGCCCUUUGCACAGGGAUAGCCAUUGGAAACGAUGAUUAAAACCUGAUAACACCAUUUUAUCACAUGGAAAGAUGGUCAAAGAUUUAUCGGCAAAGGAUGGGCCUGCGUCUGAUUAGCUAGUUGGUGAGGUAACGGCUCACCAAGGCGACGAUCAGUAGCCGACCUGAGAGGGUGAUCGGCCACAUUGGAACUGAGACACGGUCCAAACUCCUACGGGAGGCAGCAGUGGGGAAUAUUGCACAAUGGGCGAAAGCCUGAUGCAGCAACGCCGCGUGAAGGAAGAAGGCCUUCGGGUCGUAAACUUCUGUCCUUGGGGAAGAAGAACUGACGGUACCCAAGGAGGAAGCCCCGGCUAACUACGUGCCAGCAGCCGCGGUAAUACGUAGGGGGCAAGCGUUAUCCGGAAUUAUUGGGCGUAAAGAGUACGUAGGUGGCAACCUAAGCGCAGGGUUUAAGGCAAUGGCUUAACCAUUGUUCGCCCUGCGAACUGGGAUGCUUGAGUGCAGGAGAGGAAAGCGGAAUUCCUAGUGUAGCGGUGAAAUGCGUAGAUAUUAGGAGGAACACCAGUGGCGAAGGCGGCUUUCUGGACUGUAACUGACACUGAGGUACGAAAGCGUGGGGAGCAAACAGGAUUAGAUACCCUGGUAGUCCACGCCGUAAACGAUGAGCACUAGGUGUCGGGGUCGCAGGACUUCGGUGCCGUAGUUAACGCAUUAAGUGCUCCGCCUGGGGAGUACGCACGCAAGUGUGCAACUCAAAUGAAUUGACGGA
RNAcentral lists this ribosomal RNA (914 nucleotides) under uncultured Bacillota bacterium. RNAcentral's name for it is "bacterial SSU rRNA". It matches the Rfam family "Bacterial small subunit ribosomal RNA", at positions 1 to 917 of the family's 1533-position model. Lineage: Bacteria; Bacillati; Bacillota. The record is from RNAcentral.